RNAcentral lists this unclassified non-coding RNA (245 nucleotides) under Hevea brasiliensis (rubber tree). Lineage: Eukaryota; Viridiplantae; Streptophyta; Magnoliopsida; Malpighiales; Euphorbiaceae. The record is from RNAcentral.
AAAUAAAAAGGAAGAAGAAGAAAAGAAGAUGUAAAGUAGAUGUACCUGGCUGGCUUUGGGUGCCUUUUUCCUCAGUGAUAAAACGUGGCUGUGUCUGUGUAUUGGCUAUGUAUCUCCAAUAUGGCUAAUGGAUGGUGAUUAAAAUGGGCUAAUGGCUAAUUGUUUUAAAUCUAAUUUAGAGGAUUUUUUAGUGCUCUUUCGCAUUUGCAUUUUUUUUAUUAUUUAAAAUCCUAUUUUAAAUAAGU